UACGUAGGGUGCAAGCGUUAAUCGGAAUUACUGGGCGUAAAGCGUGCGCAGGCGGUUUUGUAAGUCAGAUGUGAAAUCCCCGGGCUUAACCUGGGAACUGCGUUUGAAACUACAAGGCUAGAGUGUGGCAGAGGGGGGUGGAAUUCCACGUGUAGCAGUGAAAUGCGUAGAGAUGUGGAGGAACACCGAUGGCGAAGGCAGCCCCCUGGGCUGAGAUUGACGCUCAGGCACGAAAGCGUGGGGAGCAAACAGG
This 253-nucleotide ribosomal RNA is filed under the name uncultured bacterium. RNAcentral describes it as "partial 16S ribosomal RNA". It matches the Rfam family "Bacterial small subunit ribosomal RNA", at positions 524 to 776 of the family's 1533-position model. The record is from RNAcentral.